AAUGGGCGGAAGCCUGAUCCAGCCAUGCCGCGUGAAGGAUGACUGCCCUUUGGUUGUAAACUUCUUUUAUAGAGGAAGAACCUCUCUACGUGUAGAGAGCUGACGGUACUCUACGAAUAAGGACCGGCUAACUCCGUGCCAGCAGCCGCGGUAAUACGGAGGGUCCAAGCGUUAUCCGGAUUUAUUGGGUUUAAAGGGUCCGUAGGCGGGUUUUUAAGUCAGUGGUGAAAUCCUACAGCUCAACUGUAGGACUGUCAUUGAAACUGGAGAUCUUGAAUGUGAUUGAAGUGGGCGGAAUAGGUCAUGUAGCGGUGAAAUGCUUAGAUAUGACCUAGAACACCGAUAGCGAAGGCAGCUCACUAAGUCAUGAUUGACGCUAAUGGACGAAAGCGUGGGGAGCGAACAGGAUU
Molecule: ribosomal RNA, 410 nt
Filed under: uncultured Flavobacteriia bacterium
Lineage: Bacteria; Pseudomonadati; Bacteroidota; Flavobacteriia
Description: bacterial SSU rRNA
Rfam family: Bacterial small subunit ribosomal RNA
Source: RNAcentral